This 291-nucleotide long non-coding RNA is filed under the name Phaseolus vulgaris (common bean). RNAcentral's name for it is "long non-coding RNA (PVUL_LNC002343)". Lineage: Eukaryota; Viridiplantae; Streptophyta; Magnoliopsida; Fabales; Fabaceae. The record is from RNAcentral.
ACCAACUGAUGACAAAACAUAAAGUAGCUCCAAAUACUGCUGUCCUAAACCAACAUUCGAAAAACUACACCCCCCACCCCAAGAGCUUUAUAACUUAAAGAACUUUUAAAUACAUCCCAAAAAACAAUGCCCAAUAGAAAACACCUAUACAUAAAACCCAACAUAACCCAGUCACCAUGCACUGAAUUUCUAACCAGAUACAUAAGUAAUUCUAAAUUGAAAGUCCUUACAUCCGUACCUAAUACUUUUUAAACAUUGAUUCAGGAAUUCAUACACAUCCAUGCUUAUUUG